Molecule: ribosomal RNA, 497 nt
Filed under: uncultured bacterium
Lineage: Bacteria
Description: partial 16S ribosomal RNA
Rfam family: Bacterial small subunit ribosomal RNA
Source: RNAcentral
GACGAACGCUGGCGGCGUGCCUAAUACAUGCAAGUUGAGCGAUGAAGAUUGGUGCUUGCACCAAUUUGAAGAGCAGCGAACGGGUGAGUAACGCGUGGGGAAUCUGCCUUUGAGCGGGGGACAACAUUUGGAAACGAAUGCUAAUACCGCAUAACAACUUUAAACAUAAGUUUUAAGUUUGAAAGAUGCAAUUGCAUCACUCAAAGAUGAUCCCGCGUUGUAUUAGCUAGUUGGUGAGGUAAAGGCUCACCAAGGCGAUGAUACAUAGCCGACCUGAGAGGGUGAUCGGCCACAUUGGGACUGAGACACGGCCCAAACUCCUACGGGAGGCAGCAGUAGGGAAUCUUCGGCAAUGGACGAAAGUCUGACCGAGCAACGCCGCGUGAGUGAAGAAGGUUUUCGGAUCGUAAAACUCUGUUGGUAGAGAAGAACGUUGGUGAGAGUGGAAAGCUCAUCAAGUGACGGUAACUACCCAGAUAGGGACGGCUAACUACGUG